Molecule: ribosomal RNA, 609 nt
Filed under: Triticum aestivum (bread wheat)
Lineage: Eukaryota; Viridiplantae; Streptophyta; Magnoliopsida; Poales; Poaceae
Description: partial small subunit ribosomal RNA
Source: RNAcentral
AUGCUAGGAGGGAAUCAAAUAAUAUGUAUGGACGGACAUUCUCUCACUGAAGCACACUACACAGUUCUACAGAAUUCCGCCUUGGUGGCUCCGUACAUGGACGAACACAAGAAUUUUCUACGCUCCAAACACCUGGAGCGGUCUGAUGAGGUGGUGGUUAUGCUCGAAGCAACCAUCCAUUGCGCCUCGAUUCCAGCGGGCUAUGCUCGUGUCUUGGUUGAUGAGGUGGUGGACCCAUAUUCGGGGCUAGAGCUUGACAUUCCUGGAGGUGACGACGAGCACACACUCGGAGAGGCCAUACAUCGUAUCAUCCUAUGGAGAAAGGAUUGCAUCAUCUUUCGAAGUCCACCGACACCGCGUCUGCCGACUCCUCCUCGAAGUCCGCCACCGUGUCAGCAGACUCCCGCUCCUCCAAGUCCACGAACGCGUGAGCAGACUCCUGCUUCAAGUCCGGCACAGCGUCAGGCCACUCCUCCUGUUUCAAGUCCGACACCGUGUCAGGCCACACCUCCUGCUUCAAGUCCGGCACAGCGUCAGGCCACACCUCCUGCUUCAAGUCCGACACCGUGUCAGGCCACACCUCCUGCUUCAAGUCCGCCACAGCGUUAG